GUGCCAGCAGCCGCGGAAGACGAACCGUGUGAACGUUGUUCGGAAUCACUGGGCUUAAAGGGCGCGUAGGCGGCUUCGCAAGUCCGGGGUGAAAGCCCCCAGCUCAACUGGGGAAGUGCCUUGGAUACUGCGGGGCUCGAGGGAGGUAGGGGUGUGUGGAACUUCCGGCGGAGCGGUGAAAUGCGUUGAUAUCGGAAGGAACGCCGGUGGCGAAAGCGACGCACUGGACCUCUUCUGACGCUGAGGCGCGAAAGCCAGGGGAGCAAACGGGAUUAGAUACCCGCGUAGUCC
Molecule: ribosomal RNA, 291 nt
Filed under: uncultured bacterium
Lineage: Bacteria
Description: partial 16S ribosomal RNA
Rfam family: Bacterial small subunit ribosomal RNA
Source: RNAcentral